GGGGAUAACGAGUCGACGAUUGAAGCCCCCAACGUUCUGCCAGACACUGGACAGGGAUAUCUGGAUAGAUGGAUGGAUCUAUCUUUCUAUUCAGAUAUCUUUUGCAAUCAGCCCCAAAUCCUUGAUUUGGCCAGGAAACAAAGCACUGCUUUGGGCCCAGGAAGCGAAGUGAAUGAGCUCGGCUGCUUCUCCCCCACACUUCUUUAUUUCUCCGUGCCCCUUCCGCAUGCGCUUCGCACGCCAUUGGCGCUUUUCUCUCCUCUUAUUUCUUCAUUGGAGGGUUCGGAUGGACUUCGCCGUUCUUUCCCAACGAAAAUGGAAAGGGCUGUAUCACAUCGAGAUGUCGAUUCGUUUUCCGCCCCAAAUGAGAUGGGGAAUUAG
RNAcentral lists this ribosomal RNA (381 nucleotides) under Triticum aestivum (bread wheat). RNAcentral describes it as "partial small subunit ribosomal RNA". Lineage: Eukaryota; Viridiplantae; Streptophyta; Magnoliopsida; Poales; Poaceae. The record is from RNAcentral.